ACUCGUGGCCUGACGCAUCCGCGAGACUGCACGCGGCCAGGCGGGGGCACGAACGGGUUGGGGCAUGCGCGGGCAGCGUCGAGUGGGUCCCUUGGGGGUGGGGGUGGGGGGCAGUCGAACUAGGGAGAGAGUCUGUGGAAGGGCUCAGUUGUCACUUCACACCUUUCCCCGCUGUUUAUUGAUCUUUAACUCUCUCUGUGUGUCCUCUCUCUCUCUCUCUCUCCCUCUCCUCUCUCUGUUUCUCUCUCUCUAUCCCUUCCUGUCCACCCUUUGGGGCCAUCUCUUCCAAGAAACAACCGUCUCUCCCAGCCCAUGGGAAAUUGUCUCUCCUGCGAACUUAUCCAACCUGAGGGGGUCUCAUCCAUGCCGAUACCGGCUGCUUGUGGAACCUUGUAAGAGUUCUUCCCUCUCCCUGUAAAAUGGAGAUAAGCUGUGUGGUGCUGAGGCCAGCGCCGGGCACACUCACCCUCACCUUCUUCCUGAGAGAGGAAAGAGCCUGGAGACCUGGAUUCUACCUCUGCCCCCAACCCCUACCACAGGGUAGCCCUGCCACCACCUGCUGGUUCUUUGGGCAAGUCACUCUUUUAUUGGACUUCCAUUUCCUCAGCUCUAAAAUGAAGGAGGUGAGCCCAGUGUGGUGGCACCUGUAGUUCCAGCUACCUGCAGGCUGAGGCAGGAGGAUCGUUUGAGCCCGGGGGGCAGAGGUUAGAGUGAGCGGAGAUCUUGCCACUGCACCCCAGCCUGGGCAACAGAGCAAGACCCUGUCUUUAAAAAAAAAAGUGAUUAAAAAAUAAAAAUAAAAUGAAGGAGUUAAACAAACUCAGGAAUUUUGUAUGAAUGGCAUAAAUGAGCACAUUAGAAGGAAGCAACUUUCCUUCUCUCUUUUUUUCAAUCCUGUACAGGCCAGCUUCCCCUCUGCCCUCUGCUCCCCUCCUCCCUCCCUACCAUCCUCCAGCCCCCCAAAGCCCUCCCAAUUUGAGCCUCCUUUUGGAAAACAUCUCUGAGUAUGGUACCGUUGGUAUCGGUGACUAAGAGGCUCCAAGGAUACCCUUCUGGGGGAUUUCCAAAAUAAUGAGGAAGUCCAUUUCCAAAAUCAUGGGAAGUCCCAACUGGGCCUCCCAGACAGUUGGCCACUGAGUCUGUCCCCUAAAGGAUCUGCUUGACUUGCACAGUCUUAAAGGCAUCAUGUCUGGUUUUUAAACAUAAUUUCAGUUAGUAGCCAACAGUUCAGAUCAAGGGAUCACACGGCCUGUUUGACCUGUUCUUGCAGGGUCAUGCAUGCUCCACUGAGCCAUGGGAAGUGUCCACACCCAGCCAUGGGAGCCCUGUGGGAUCUGAAACUGACAUUUCUGCUUUAGGUGCCUUAAGCUGAAGAAAUGCAUAGUAGCGGGAAUUGGAGUGCAAGUGAGUGCAGUAGGGGAAGUAUUUUGCCAUAAGAAACCCUAAGCCUCUAUGGACAAGAAAUUCUCCAGGGGCAGACUGGCCUUGACCCCAGAAAUGUCACAUUGGACUCGGCCUUGGUUUUCCUCAUCUAUACAAUGGUCAAUCAGACUAGUGGUUUGUUUUUUGUUUGUUUGUUUGUUUGUUUUCUCUGUCGCCCAGGCUGGAGUACAGUAGUGCAAUCUCGGCUCACUGCAACCUCUGCCUCCUGGGUUCAAGCAAUUAUCCUGCCUCAGCCUCCCAAGUAGCUGGGACUACAGGUGCACGCCACCACAUCCAGCUGAUUUUUGUAAUUUUAGUAGAGAUGAGGUUUCACC
RNAcentral lists this long non-coding RNA (1757 nucleotides) under Homo sapiens (human). RNAcentral describes it as "non-protein coding lnc-CDH23-4:1". Lineage: Eukaryota; Metazoa; Chordata; Mammalia; Primates; Hominidae. The record is from RNAcentral.